GACGAACGCUGGCGGCGUGCCUAAUACAUGCAAGUAGAACGCACAGUUUAUACCGUAGCUUGCUACACCAUAGACUGUGAGUUGCGAACGGGUGAGUAACGCGUAGGUAACCUGCCUGGUAGCGGGGGAUAACUAUUGGAAACGAUAGCUAAUACCGCAUAAUAUUAAUUAUUGCAUGAUAAUUAAUUGAAAGGUGCAAUUGCACCACUACCAGAUGGACCUGCGAUGUAUUAGCUAGUAGGUGAGGUAACGGCUCACCUAGGCGACGAUACAUAGCCGACCUGGGAGGGUGAUCGGCCACAACGGGACUGGGGCACGGCCCAGACUCCUACGGGAGGCAGCAGUAGGGGAUCCUCGGCAAUGGACGGAAGUCUGACCGAGCAACGCCGCGUGAGUGAAGAAGGUUUUCGGAUCGUAAAGCUCUGUUGUAAGAGAAGAACGGGUGUGAGAGUGGAAAGUGCACACUGUGACGGUAUCUUACCAGAAAGGGACGGCUAACUACGUG
Molecule: ribosomal RNA, 505 nt
Filed under: uncultured bacterium
Lineage: Bacteria
Description: partial 16S ribosomal RNA
Rfam family: Bacterial small subunit ribosomal RNA
Source: RNAcentral